This 699-nucleotide ribosomal RNA is filed under the name uncultured Pseudomonadota bacterium. RNAcentral describes it as "bacterial SSU rRNA". It matches the Rfam family "Bacterial small subunit ribosomal RNA", at positions 74 to 769 of the family's 1533-position model. The record is from RNAcentral. Lineage: Bacteria; Pseudomonadati; Pseudomonadota.
CGGGGGCAACCCUGGUGGCGAGUGGCGAACGGGUGAGUAAUACAUCGGAACGUGCCCAGUCGUGGGGGAUAACUACGCGAAAGCGUAGCUAAUACCGCAUACGAUCUACGGAUGAAAGCGGGGGAUCGCAAGACCUCGCGCGAUUGGAGCGGCCGAUGGCAGAUUAGGUAGUUGGUGGGGUAAAGGCUCACCAAGCCGACGAUCUGUAGCUGGUCUGAGAGGAUGAUCAGCCACACUGGGACUGAGACACGGCCCAGACUCCUACGGGAGGCAGCAGUGGGGAAUUUUGGACAAUGGGGGAAACCCUGAUCCAGCCAUGCCGCGUGAGUGAAGAAGGCCUUCGGGUUGUAAAGCUCUUUUGGUCGGAAAGAAAAGGCUACGGAUAACACCCGUGGUCCUUGACGGUACCGGCAGAAUAAGCACCGGCUAACUACGUGCCAGCAGCCGCGGUAAUACGUAGGGUGCGAGCGUUAAUCGGAAUUACUGGGCGUAAAGCGUGCGUAGGCGGUCCCGCAAGUCCGCUGUGAAAGCCCCGGGCUUAACCUGGGAAUGGCAGUGGAAACUAUGGGACUUGAAUCUGGCAGAGGGGGGUGGAAUGCCACGUGUAGCAGUGAAAUGCGUAGAGAUGUGGCGGAACACCAAUGGCGAAGGCAGCCCCCUGGGCUGAGAUUGACGCUCAGGCACGAAAGCGUGGGGAGC